This 492-nucleotide ribosomal RNA is filed under the name uncultured bacterium. RNAcentral's name for it is "partial 16S ribosomal RNA". It matches the Rfam family "Bacterial small subunit ribosomal RNA", at positions 29 to 507 of the family's 1533-position model. The record is from RNAcentral.
AGUGAACGCUGGCGGUAGGCCUAACACAUGCAAGUCGAACGGCCGCACAGUAAGAGCUUUCUCUUACGGGUGGCGAGUGGCGGACGGGUGAGGAAUACAUCGGAAUCUACUUUUUCGUGGGGGAUAACGUAGGGAAACUUACGCUAAUACCGCAUACGACCUACGGGUGAAAGCAGGGGAUCUUGGGACCUUGCGCGAUUGAAUGAGCCGAUGUCGGAUUAGCUAGUUGGCGGGGUAAGGGCCCACCAAGGCGACGAUGCGUAGCUGGUCUGAGAGGAUGAUCAGCCACACUGGAACUGAGACACGGUCCAGACUCCUACGGGAGGCAGCAGUGGGGAAUAUUGGACAAUGGGCGCAAGCCUGACCCAGCAAUACCGCGUGAGUGAAGAAGGUCUUCGGGUUGUAAAGCCCUUUUAUUAGGAAAGAAAAGCAGCAUAAUAAUACCCCGCUGUUCUGACGGUACCCAAAGAAAAAGCACCGGCUAACUUCGUG